RNAcentral lists this ribosomal RNA (253 nucleotides) under uncultured bacterium. RNAcentral's name for it is "partial 16S ribosomal RNA". It matches the Rfam family "Bacterial small subunit ribosomal RNA", at positions 524 to 776 of the family's 1533-position model. The record is from RNAcentral.
GACGAACCGUGCGAACGUUGUUCGGAAUCACUGGGCUUAAAGGGCGCGUAGGCGGGCUGCCAAGUCUGGGGUGAAAUCCCACGGCUCAACCGUGGAACUGCCUCGGAUACUGGCGGUCUCGAGGGAGGUAGGGGCAUGCGGAACUGUGGGUGGAGCGGUGAAAUGCGUUGAUAUCCACAGGAACUCCGGUGGCGAAAGCGGCGUGCUGGACCUCUUCUGACGCUGAGGCGCGAAAGCCAGGGGAGCAAACGGG